CCAAUAGCGUAUAUUAAAGUUGUUGCAGUUAAAAAGCUCGUAGUUGAAUUUCGGGAUCAGUAUGUCGGUCGUGCCUUGGUAUGUACUGGUUUCACUGAUUCCUCCCUUCUGAAGAACCAUCAUGCCAUUAAUUUGGUGUGGUGGGAAAUCAGGACUGUUACUUUGAAAAAAUUAGGGUGUUUAAAGCAGGCUAGCGCUUGAAUACAUUAACAUGGAAUAAUGAAAUAGGACGUUAAUCCUAUUUUGUUGGUUUCUAGGAUCGACGUAAUGAUUAAUAGGGAUAGUUGGGGGCAUUAGUAUUCAAUUGUCAGAGGUGAAAUUCUUGGAUUUAUUGAAGACUAACUACUGCGAAAGCAUUUGCCAAGGAUGUUUUCAUUAAUCAAGAACGAAAGUUAGGGGAUCGAAGACGAUCAGAUACCGUCGUAGUCUUAACCAUAAACUAUGCCGACUAGGGAUCGGAUGAUGUUAAUUUUUUAAUGACUCAUUCGGCGCCUUACG
Molecule: ribosomal RNA, 498 nt
Filed under: uncultured Glomeromycotina
Lineage: Eukaryota; Fungi; Glomeromycota
Description: partial small subunit ribosomal RNA
Rfam family: Eukaryotic small subunit ribosomal RNA
Source: RNAcentral